ACCACAGGGAGCUCACUGAGCGGGACUGAGAUGAUGGAUGCUGGUCCGGGAAAUUCUGCGCAUGCGUGGCGCCAUCCCAUGAACUCCCUUGGAAGUCGCGUCUCGUCUCUACUUCUCAGAGAUCCUGAAGAGAUUGAAAAGGAAGAGCAGGCCGCGGCUGAAACGGCUGUGGCCAGGAGGAAUUUCAGGGUGAAUGGACUGCUCCAACUCCCGAAUUUACUGCUACCCAACCAGAGGUCGCCGGCUGGUCGGAAGGUGCAGGUGUCCCCUGAGCCUGUUCAGCAGUUCCCUACUGAGUCUGACUGGUCUGCAACUGCCACUGCUCAGGCCACCAAACGGGUGGGUACAACCACUGAAUGGUCUUAGUCUGUCCUUCCACAGACUGUUCAACAGAAAAUGGAAGUAAGGUUGAUGGAAAAUAAACAGCUUCUAAGAAAAAAGAACGAAAACAGAGCGAGACUCAAACCGUGAGAGUGUCAGAAGGGAAAAUCUCAGGUCCCUUCCCACUCUAAUGUUCCACGGUCCUGGAAUCCUCCACUUAAACCUCAAUGAAUUAUAGAAUCGUGAAGGAACUUCAGCCAUUGCAUUGUCCUGUCCAUGGGUGAGGAAUAAACUGUUGUGGUCAAUGAGGCAGAGAAGUUUGAGUCAAGCAGCUCUGGGAGUGGGAGUAGAGGGGGCUGCGCCUAGACCACCGCUGCUCCUUCACUCACCCCACUAUCUUCUCCUCACUGAAGAUGCCAGGCCAUGAUCUUUCAACAUCAAUGAUGCUGUCAGUCAUCAUAGAGAUCCCUUUGACAAGUCAGAAACUUGCCAAAUAUUACUGUGGCCAAUGCUAUUGUGAAGGAAACAGGAAGAAACAUGAUUCUCUGUACCAAGGUUUGGACUCUUAGCAAUAACGCAUGGAAGCGUGAAGUCAUGGGGUUUGACUCUAGGCCCCCACAUAUUGAAAGAAAGCAUUCAUUAAUAAUUGCAAAGGACAUACUCCAGCCCCGCUCCUUCCCUGUAAUGCAGACCCUGUGUGGGUAGGAAUUAAUAUGAGUAUAGGGACCAUAUCUCCCCCUUCUUUGUGUCUCCCACAUAGCUCAGCACAGUGCUUGCCGCUUCAUAAGAACUCAAUAAGUGAUUAAUAGAUUAAAGUGGAGAGUUCCUAGUUAGCAAUCUCACACCAGGCACAAAAUUCAUGAGACUCACCAUUGCUGGUGCCUAUGUAAAUUCAUCCUGCUCAGCCCUAUAUGCAAAUACAGUGGGUUUGUAGCCCUAAAGUUUUGAAGGCAUUGAUGUGUCCAAUCUGGAGAAAUUAAGGUAUUUUAUCCGGUUGCAUCUUUCAGUUUAAGAUAGUGUAUUUGACUAGAACAGAGAUUGUAACUUUUACUCAAGAGAUAUCUCUUCUGGUCUCAUUCUAUUAGUUACAGUAAGGUCCCAUCAUUAAAGACUUUACUCCUUUGCUGGGAGAGAACUUGUGAUGAGUGACUGACUUCAACAAUUGGCUGAGGGAACAAGAUUCAUUCAUUGAAUCAAAGAAAAAGAAUGUCAAGGAAAGACGAGAUUGUCAAAGAAUAAUUCUCUGAUGUGGAGAAAAGGGAACCCUUGUAGACUGCUGGUGGGAAUGGAAACUGGUGCAGCCACUGUGGAAAACAGUAUGCAGAUUUCUCAAAAAAUUAAGAAUAGAAAUACCAUACGAUCCAGCUAUCCCACUACUGGGUUUUUAUCCAAAGAUCUUGAAAUCAACAAUCCAAAGAAAUUUAUGCCCGUAUGUUCAUUGCAGCAUUAUUCACAGUAGCCAAGAUGUGGAAGCAACCCACUGCCCCGCUACAGAUCAAUGGAUAAAGAAGAUGUGGG
Long non-coding RNA from Equus caballus (horse), 1839 nucleotides. The record is from Ensembl. NCBI's taxonomy places the organism in Eukaryota, Metazoa, Chordata, Mammalia, Perissodactyla, Equidae.